This 300-nucleotide ribosomal RNA is filed under the name uncultured Costertonia sp. RNAcentral's name for it is "bacterial SSU rRNA". It matches the Rfam family "Bacterial small subunit ribosomal RNA", at positions 497 to 795 of the family's 1533-position model. Lineage: Bacteria; Pseudomonadati; Bacteroidota; Flavobacteriia; Flavobacteriales; Flavobacteriaceae. The record is from RNAcentral.
CUAAGUAAGUGCACGCGGCCGGGGUGAGGCGUAGGGUGCAAGCGUUUUGCGGAUGUAUUGGGCGGAAAGGGCUCGUAGGCGGUUUGACGCGGCGGAUGUGAAAACCCAAUGGCUUAACCUUGUGCCUGCAUUCGAUACGGGCAGACUAGAGUGUGGUAGGGGAGACUGGAACUCCUGGUGUAGCGGUGGAAUGCGCAGAUAUCAGGAAGAACACCGAUGGCGAAGGCAGGUCUCUGGGCCACAACUGACGCUGAGGAGCGAAAGCGUGGGGAGCAAACAGGAUUAGAUACCCCAGUAGUC